This is a long non-coding RNA of Bos indicus x Bos taurus (hybrid cattle), 299 nucleotides long. The record is from Ensembl. NCBI's taxonomy places the organism in Eukaryota, Metazoa, Chordata, Mammalia, Artiodactyla, Bovidae.
CGAACAUCUCCUGAUCCCUGGCCAAGGCUCCCUCCAUCUGUGAUGCUCUCUUGAAGUCAUCUUCCUGCCAAGGGCCUGCCUCCCCAGUGGCUACUUGGAGAUUUUGGUUACCAUCUUGAUCCUCCUGGCUUUUUGGAUUCACUGCUAUGUUUGGGUCUAUUCCUUGAAACCUUACCUACAGAAUGUUUAAGCCCCAAAGCCUAUCUACCAGGUGGAUAAUUCUCCUACCCUAACAUUAGCCACACCCCACAGAAGAUGGAAAACCGCCAGGAUCAGUGGCUUUGAAGAUGAAAGGCCUG